GACGAACGCUGGCGGCGUGCUUAACACAUGCAAGUCGAACGGAAAGGCCCUGCUUUUGUGGGUUUCUCGAGUGGCGAACGGGUGAGUAACACGUGAGUAACCUGCCCUUGACUUUGGGAUAACUUCAGGAAACUGGGGCUAAUACCGGAUAGGAGCUCCUGCUGCAUGGUGGGGGUUGGAAAGUUUCGGCGGUUGGGGCUGUACUCGCUGCUUAUCAGCUUGUUUGUGUGGUAGUGGCUUACCAAGGGUUUGACGGGUAGCCGGCCUGAGAGGGUGACCGGCGACAAUGGGACUGAGAUACGGCGCAGAAUGCUACGGGAGGCAGCAGUGGGGAAUAUUGCAGAGUGGGCGGAAGCGUGAUGCAGAAACGCCGCGUGCGGGAUGACGGCCUUCGGGUUGUAAACAGCUUUCGCAUGUGACGAAGCGUGAGUGACGGUAAUGGGUAAAGAAGCACCGGCUAACUACGUG
Molecule: ribosomal RNA, 468 nt
Filed under: uncultured bacterium
Lineage: Bacteria
Description: partial 16S ribosomal RNA
Rfam family: Bacterial small subunit ribosomal RNA
Source: RNAcentral